This 553-nucleotide long non-coding RNA is filed under the name Cyanistes caeruleus (blue tit). RNAcentral describes it as "lncRNA (ENSCCEG00000000099.1)". The record is from RNAcentral. Lineage: Eukaryota; Metazoa; Chordata; Aves; Passeriformes; Paridae.
UACAAGUAGCCGCUGGCAGGAAGUUGUGUGCUUGGAGGGUAGUAACAGCCAAGAAUGGAUGAUUGAAGUUUUAAUAAUAUCUAAAACUUUAUCAGGCGCCUAAACCCUUGAGGGUUAAGAGGGAGAGUCUUAUGAGGGUGAUGGUUGAUGUUCUUUCUAUCUGCAUUCCUAGAUUACUAUGAAGAGGAUAAUGUGAAGUUAUUCUCGGAAGAUUAUGGCACUGCGAAAGGAAUGUAGCACUGGGCCAUAAAUUAACCGGAACAGGAAAGGCUUAUUCUCAACUCCAGUUUAUUAACUCAGCCAUAUGCAUAUGUAACCCUUUGUACCAAAAACUUGUACUGUGGAAUCUGGGAUGGAUGCAGUGUCCUACCUAUAAGCAAGCAGAAAUGAUUCCUGCAUUAACAACCUGACCUUGAAACUGGAAAUACGAGGGUAAACUUGAAACAUGUGAGGUGUGAGCCACUGGGCUAGAUCAUAGUUAAAGUCCCUGCUUUUCUACAGCAGGGUAUAAAAUAGUUCCCCAGGAAUGUGACUUCAGCAGAAAUUGCAUGUC